This 433-nucleotide ribosomal RNA is filed under the name uncultured bacterium. Its description in RNAcentral is "partial 16S ribosomal RNA". It matches the Rfam family "Bacterial small subunit ribosomal RNA", at positions 35 to 507 of the family's 1533-position model. The record is from RNAcentral.
GGGGGGGGGGGGCGGGGGGGGUGGGGCGGGCGGGGCGGGCGGGGCCGUCGGGUGUGGUGGCGCGCGGGGGGGUGGCGCGUGGGACCCUGCCCUUAGGUUCGGAAUACCUCCCCGACAUGGGUGCUCAUACCGUCGACUGUCUGCGGCCCAAGGCGUUAUCGCGUUUGGAUGGGCCCGCGCUGGCUUAGCUAGUUGUUAGGGUAAAAGCAUACCAAGGCGACGAUCCAUAGCUGGUCUGAGAGGAUGAUCAGCCACACUGGGACUGAGCCACGGCCCCGAAUCCUACGGGAGGCAGCAGUGGGGAAUAGUGGACCAUGGGCGAAAGCAUGAUCCAGCAAGGCCGCGUGAGUGAUGAAGGCCUGAGGGUUGUAAAGCGCUUUUACCCGGGAUGAUAAUGACAGUACCGGGAGAAUAAGCUCCGGCUAACUCCGUG